UGCGGCGAUCAUACCAGCACUAAUGCACCGGAUCCCAUCAGAACUCCGAAGUUAAGCGUGCUUGGGCGAGAGUAGUACUAGGAUGGGUGACCCCCUGGGAAGUCCUCGUGUUGCAUCCC
Molecule: ribosomal RNA, 119 nt
Filed under: Ipomoea nil (Japanese morning glory)
Lineage: Eukaryota; Viridiplantae; Streptophyta; Magnoliopsida; Solanales; Convolvulaceae
Source: RNAcentral